This 484-nucleotide ribosomal RNA is filed under the name uncultured bacterium. RNAcentral's name for it is "partial 16S ribosomal RNA". It matches the Rfam family "Bacterial small subunit ribosomal RNA", at positions 30 to 507 of the family's 1533-position model. The record is from RNAcentral.
AUUGAACGCUGGCGGCAUGCUUUACACAUGCAAGUCGAACGGCAGCGCGGGCUUCGGCCUGGCGGCGAGUGGCGAACGGGUGAGUAAUACAUCGGAACUUGCCCAGUAGUGGGGGAUAGCUCGGCGAAAGCCGGAUUAAUACCGCAUACGACCUGAGGGUGAAAUCGGGGGAUCUUCGGACCUCGCGCUAUUGUAGCGGCCGAUGGCAGAUUAGCUAGUUGGUGGGGUAAAGGCCUACCAAGGCGACGAUCUGUAGCUGGUCUGAGAGGACGACCAGCCACACUGGGACUGAGACACGGCCCAGACUCCUACGGGAGGCAGCAGCGGGGAAUUUUGGACGAUGGGCGAAAGCCUGAUUCAGCAAUGCGGCGUGUGUGAUGAAGGACUUCGGGUUGUAAAGCACUUUUGGCGGGAACGAAAAGGACUGUGCCAAUACCACGGUUCGAUGACGGUACCCGCAGAAUAAGCACCGGCUAACUACGUG